AUGUCAGGAAUAAAGAAGAUCCAUAACCAGCUAGCAUAUGAUAUCGAAGCUUACAUAAAUGGCACAAAAUAUAUAAUAGAUGAAAUUACAAUAAGAGAUUUGUCAGUAAUAAAUGAUGACAUGAUAAUAGGGUUAAGAUUUUUACAACAAUCUUUACAAACCACAAUCAUACAUGAAGAGGGGGUAACAUUUAUUCCUUAUCAAGAUAAUGUUCCAUACAUAUCUGAAGUGCGAAAACAAAGAAAGUCCUUGCAAAAUGUAGAAAUAUCUAAUUUAGAUGAUGAAUAUAGCACAAGUCCAGAUCCCCUUGAAUUCUGUAAAGACGAAGAACUUAGUGAGACCAUAAAAGAAUAUCAUAUAGAAAAUACAUGUACUGAAUGCAUUGGGUUGCAAUCAUUCCUUCCAAAUUGGUAUAGAGAUAUAAAAUCCAAAAAGGAUAUAGAUAAGAUUGUGCAAAGACUAGAAAGUAUACAAAUUAUUGGAGAAAUACCAAUGAAACAUUGGGAUAAGAACUCUAUAGUUUGCAAAAUAAAUAUCAUAAAUCCAGAUUAUAUAAUUAAGUCAGGACCAAUAGAAGCAACUCCUAAAGAUAUCGAAGAGUUCAAAAUGCAUAUUGAAGAGUUAUUAAAGUUAAAAGCUAUAAGAGAAAGCAGAAGCCCUCAUCAAUCUGCUGCUUUUAUAGUUAGAAAUCAUGCUGAAGAAGUUAGAGGCCUAAAGAAUGCACCUGCACUAUUUCAAAGAAAGAUGCAAAAUAUAUUUAAUGAGAAUCAAGCAUUUAUAUUAGUAUACGUAGAUGAUUUGUUAGUAUUCUCAAAAUCAUACAAAGAGCAUAUAGCCCAUCUUGAAGUGUUCUUUCGAAAGGUAGAACAAAAUGGGCUCAUACUAUCUAAAAAGAAGAUGGAGAUUUGCAAAGAGAAAAUAAAUUUCCUUGGUCAUGAAAUAGGAGAAGGAAAAAUAUAUCUACAAGAACAUAUUGCAAAGAAAAUAUUAGAGUUUCCUGAUAAUAUGAGUGAUAAAAAGGUUUUACAACAGUUCUUAGGAAUUGUAAACUAUGCGCGAAACUAUAUAGAUAACUUAGCAAAGCUAGCAGGACCUUUAUAUGCUAAAUUAAGAAAAAAUGGUCAAAGAUACUUCAAUUCUGAAGAUAUAAAAUUAGUAAAGGCCAUCAAGGAAAAGGUCAGGAAUUUAAAACCCCUAGAAUUGCCUCUAGAAGACAAUUAUUUUAUAAUUGAGACAGAUGCAUCUAAGGUAGGAUGGGGUGCGAUACUAAAACAAAAGCCCAAUAAAUACUCUCCAAAGGCAGACGAAAAAAUAUGCAGAUAUGCUUCAGGAAGUUACAAAUUAAAGACGGUAAAUAAUAUUGAUAGAGAAAUUCUUGCAGUUGUAAAUGCAAUAAAUGCAUUUAGGUUAUAUCUAGGAUUUAAAGAAUUUACAGUACGAACAGACUGUGAAGCCAUAUGCCGAUAUUACAAUAAAAUUAAAAUAAUGAGGAAAGGAUUAUUCGCCAACAAGGAUGAAUAUCUUUUCUUUGGAGAAGAAAAUAGGCUGAAAAUGUUUCAGCCAAAUACAUUCAAUUUUAAGCCAAAAUCCCAUAUUAAGCUCGAUGAAGCUCAAAGAUGCAUAUUGGAUAACUUUUGGUUCCAAUAUACUCGCAAAAGAGAGGAACAAGGAUAUUUUUUAUCAAUUCUCAGCAGUUUGGCUGAAUAUUUUAAUGAAUUAAACAAAAAUGUGCCAAAGCCAGCAAAGGUUGAAAUACCAAAAGGAGAAACUCUAUAUCUUAUAUUUGAUGGAAACAAACCUGGCAUAUAUUUGGAAUGGGAGAAUAUUAUGAUUGAAAAAUUAGAUGCAAAAAGAAAUGGACAAGAUUUAACAUUCAAAAGAUAUUACAGUAUAGAUGAGGCCUUACUUUGGGCAAGGAAGGUAUUAGGACCAGAUUAUUAUAUUGACCCAAAGGCUAAAAACUAUAUCCAAAUGAAAAGAGGCAUACCUGCUUCACCAACUCCCACAAAGGGGGAGGCAUCAAGCUCAAACAAUAUAAAGAAACAAGAAUCCCCAAAAUAUAAGACAUAUCAAGAAUGCCUUCUAAAGGGGCUUGACCCUUUAGACAGUGAAUACAUAGAUCAAGAAAUGGAUAAAAGGUUUGAAGAAUUUUCAAAGAUAAUAAAGAAAGAAUUAAAGGAGGAAAUAUUAAAAGAAUUAAGGCAAGAAAUUGAUGAAAAAUUUGAAGAAAUAAAGAAAGAAUGUGAUGAAAAAUAUGAUUUCAAUCUGUUAAAUGAUGAUGAUCAUAUGGACAUAGCAGGGCAUGGGCAGCAACCUGAAUAA
RNAcentral lists this ribosomal RNA (2322 nucleotides) under Triticum aestivum (bread wheat). Its description in RNAcentral is "partial small subunit ribosomal RNA". Lineage: Eukaryota; Viridiplantae; Streptophyta; Magnoliopsida; Poales; Poaceae. The record is from RNAcentral.